This 69-nucleotide antisense RNA is filed under the name Lentzea albida. RNAcentral's name for it is "ASpks TB sRNA". It matches the Rfam family "ASpks TB sRNA". The record is from RNAcentral. Lineage: Bacteria; Bacillati; Actinomycetota; Actinomycetes; Pseudonocardiales; Pseudonocardiaceae.
CUUCACCGACCCCAGCCACAACGGCUGCUGCCGGUCCUGGCCGUAGGUCGCGAGCAGUGCCUGCGCCUC